UACGUAGGGUGCAAGCGUUGUCCGGAAUUAUUGGGCGUAAAGCGCUCGUAGGCGGUCUGUCGCGUCGGAUGUGAAAACCCAGGGCUCAACCCUGGGCCUGCAUUCGAUACGGGCAGACUAGAGUUCGGUAGGGGAGACUGGAAUUCCUGGUGUAGCGGUGAAAUGCGCAGAUAUCAGGAGGAACACCGGUGGCGAAGGCGGGUCUCUGGGCCGAAACUGACGCUGAGGAGCGAAAGCGUGGGGAGCAAACAGG
Molecule: ribosomal RNA, 253 nt
Filed under: uncultured bacterium
Lineage: Bacteria
Description: partial 16S ribosomal RNA
Rfam family: Bacterial small subunit ribosomal RNA
Source: RNAcentral